This 1262-nucleotide long non-coding RNA is filed under the name Homo sapiens (human). Its description in RNAcentral is "HSALNT0340703". Lineage: Eukaryota; Metazoa; Chordata; Mammalia; Primates; Hominidae. The record is from RNAcentral.
GUGAGCAGGUCAGCCCCGCGCUGGUCAGCUCUUCACUGACUCCCUCCACUGCAGAUCUGGAAGUGUGGGUGCUGUACUCAGACAGGAAUGUCAUCAAGCCGAAGAGCACCUUCUACUGGAGUUCAGAUGAGGUCAGGAAGUGGCUAAGAAGAGAUCCAUGAAGAUUAACAUUCAGUGCUCAAUUUCUGAAGGAAACAGGGAGUGAAAGGCCGUGGAAGAAAACAGGGCUGCCACGAACAUGCUCUUGGCUGUUUGAAAAGAUCCAGCGCAGCUUGAACUUCAAAAAUAACUCCAUUCACUAUGGUUGCAGUUGGGCUUGGGGAAUUUCUCACAAUCAAAAGCAGCUGCUUCAUCUCAUUUAGCCAUUAGGCUGAGCUCCACAGGCUCGCUGCAGGAUCUUAGAGCCUACAAGGCCCUGCUAAGAGUAGCCGCGUUUUCCAGCAUGCAGUAGAUCAGCGAGUGUUUACAUUUGUGUUUGGAAUGCUCAUGAGUCCUUUGGGGCAAAGACUGAGUCAUUAAUCAGAGCUUUCUAUGAACGUAUUGCUGCCCAAGCCUCUGUGAAUGUGAGUACGGCCUUGUCCCCUGAGUGACGCUGAAAGAGAGUGAAGCACAUGUGCUCCAUAGGACUGCCACGGCCACCCCUCUCAUUCACUUUUCCAUUCAGCGCUGAGACUAAGUUUAACUCAUUUUUCUUUUGUUGUGAAAAGAGAAUGCACACAAAAAUUCAAAUGUUACCAAAUCGAUAUCAGGUAAGAGACAAAAUUUCCCCUCUCUGGUACUCAUAUUCCCAGUCCAUCCUCUCUGAGGUUAUAACCUCUGAUUGUGCCAGGCAUCAUUCUAGAAUGUCUGAGCAUAUGCAAAUGAGUGUGCAUGAUGUACAUUAUAUAUAUAUAUAUUUUAGAAACAGAGUCUUGCUCUGUCGCCCAAGCUGGAGUGCGGUGGUGUGAUCUCGGCUCACUGCAAGCUCCACCUCCCGGGUUCACCCACCAUUCUCCUGCCUCAGCCUCCCAAGUAGCUGGGACUACAGGCGCCCGCCACCAUGCCCAGCUAAUUUUUGUAUUUUUAGUAGAGACAGGGUUUCACCGCGUUAGCCAGGAUGGUCUCGAUGUCCUGACCUCAUGAUCCUCCCGCCUCGGCCUCCCAAAGUGCUGGGAUUACAGGCAUGAGCCACCGCGCCUGGCCAUGAUGUAUAUAUUUAAUAUAUGUGUGUGCAUGUAUGUAAAUGUGAGCGUGUACAUAUGUACAUCCAUACAUACAGAUAU